GUGCUCUCUGGCAGCACAACUAAAACUGGAAUGAUAUAGAGAAUAUUAGCAUGGUCCUUGACCAAGGAUGACUUGCAAAUUCAUGAAGGGUUCCAUAUUUUU
Molecule: small nuclear RNA, 102 nt
Organism: Cynocephalus volans (Philippine flying lemur)
Lineage: Eukaryota; Metazoa; Chordata; Mammalia; Dermoptera; Cynocephalidae
Source: RefSeq, a predicted model, not a curated record